This 1261-nucleotide long non-coding RNA is filed under the name Anas platyrhynchos platyrhynchos (common mallard). RNAcentral describes it as "lncRNA (ENSAPLG00000024798.1)". Lineage: Eukaryota; Metazoa; Chordata; Aves; Anseriformes; Anatidae. The record is from RNAcentral.
UUUUUUUUCCUCUCCUUUUGUAGGAGUUGUUUCUUUUGAAGCGGGGCGAGGCACGCCCUGCCGCCACGGGGACCUGACGGGAGGCGGAAACCCAGCGCACCGGCCCCAAAACGCCGGCCCCACAAUAGCAGCGAUGUGGGGAGCCUCCCAGAAAAGCCUCCAAGCCUUCAAGGGAAAGCCAACUGCACGGAUCUCCCCGUCUUCAUGCAAACUUCCCUCCUCCCCCCAGGCUGGUUCAGGCAGCAACGUGGGGUCAGGCACAGAAAAACAGGAUCAGCGGGCUGCUCGGCAGGCACCGCCGCAGAUUAGGAAGUAUCUGGUUCCUGCCUUGCCCCACUUUCUCCUCCUUUCCCUUCAAAAAAGCCAGCAGAACCCUCUCCAUGCCUCUCCCGGCAGGGCGAGCUGCUCUUUGGGCAGCGCAGUGCACAAGCAGGUAGAGAGCACGUCCUCAGGGUCACCGACCAAAGUCAUGCACAGGUCUCCAGCACUGGGAUGGCAAACCCCAGCCAGACCUCACAAACCUGCACCUGUGGUGAGCUGCAGCAAAUAUGUAAAGAGACUGUCCAGCCUGAUGGUUUUUGGCCUCACCUGCUGCAUCAUCGGAACAGUCACCCAAAGUGUUAAUUGUCACAUUAUUCCGAACACGUGAGCUUAAAGCAGAUCAAGGUGCAAGAAGUCCCUCUAAAGACUCCCACUAUGAUCAGCACAUGGUACUUUUACUUUCAGAAGUGUUUUAAAUAUGAAUCAGAAGCGAUGACUGUGAGGAAUGCAAAAGCUCAGUUACUCAGCCCAUCACCGCAGCCUCCAACACGCGUGAAACCUGCCCUUUUCCACUCGCUUUUCACCCAUGGGUAAGGAGGACCACGCUGCCACCAACACAGACAUGCCCCAGGUCUGCAAAGCAAUCUUCCUCAGUGGAUCACUGCAAAAUGUCACCUGCUUUGAGUAGGUGAGCACCCACAAAAGUAAUUCCUGCUUCCUGGUGACGUUUGCCCCUGUAAAGAUCUGGGGCAGAACCACACUCGGGGUCUAACGUUCCCCCAAGAGACGUGCAAAGCAUCGUUCAGCAGUACUUACCUACCCCCUGGGGCCACUGUCCAGCACAAUGAAUUCAGCUGCAUCAUAUAUUUGGAAAUCUUACCUGGAGAAUGUAUACCUAUGUCCGCUUCGCCCUUUUAUUUAAGAUGCUCUAACUGUUGCUGAGAAUUUAAUUUAUGCUGAUAUUUUUAAAAUAAACUGCUUUCUAUUCAUGGAAGUAUCA